This 417-nucleotide long non-coding RNA is filed under the name Mus pahari (shrew mouse). Its description in RNAcentral is "lncRNA (MGP_PahariEiJ_G0003603.1)". Lineage: Eukaryota; Metazoa; Chordata; Mammalia; Rodentia; Muridae. The record is from RNAcentral.
CUCUUGCUCUUCCCGGCUUCGGUGCUGCGCACCGACGUCCCCAGGCACAGGACUGCUAGCAGCAGCAGCCGCCCGGGUCCCGGACCCCUGAGCAUCUUGAGUGGAUGGGAGGAGAGUCGCCCUCCCCAGGAGGCAAGUGGCCACGAACUGUGGGUCCCCUCGCAGCCUGCGGGAAAAGUCCUGAGGUGGGGACGCCGGCUUGUUUCUAUCAGCUGAUGCCAUGUUUUGCAAGAUUCCUGAGACUUCAUCAAUAAACACAGCCAGCCCGUCUGCCUAUUUUCUUCUUGCAGUCAAGCUUUGACUAAAAUAAUGCAAACGUUGAAGACCCUAAUGAUUAAAACCACUUCAGUUUAGGAGGGCAAUACAAAGUGUGGAAUUUUGACAUUUUGAGACAUCGUCCUCACUUUGUUGUAUUCC